AAGAUUUAACGAUGAAGAGUUUGAUCCUGGCUCAGGAUGAACGCUAGCGGCAGGCUUAACACAUGCAAGUCGAG
Molecule: ribosomal RNA, 74 nt
Filed under: Salinimicrobium oceani
Lineage: Bacteria; Pseudomonadati; Bacteroidota; Flavobacteriia; Flavobacteriales; Flavobacteriaceae
Description: Salinimicrobium sp. CDJ15-91 partial 16S ribosomal RNA
Rfam family: Bacterial small subunit ribosomal RNA (bases 9-74)
Source: RNAcentral